UGAAGCUCUCAACCUCCUCCACUACAGUCCCGUCAAUGAGAAUGGGGGCGUGCUCGGUCCUCCUUUUCCUGUGGUCCACAAUCACCUCCUUUGUCUUGAUCACAUUGAGGGCGAGGUUGUUGUCCUGGCACCACACGUCCAGGUCUCUAACCUCAUCCCUAUAGGCUGUCUGAUCAUUGUCGGUGAUCAGGCCUACCACUGUUGUGUCAUCAGCAAACUUAAUGAUGGUGUUGGAGUCGUGCCUGGCCGUGCAGUCAUUAGUGAAUAGGGAGUACAGGAGGGGACUGAGCACGCACCCCUGAGGGGCCCACGUGUUGAGGAUCAGCGUGGCAGAUGUGUUGUUACCUACCCUUACCACCUGGGGGCGGCCCGUCAGGAAGUCCAGGAUCCAGUUGCAGAGGGAGGUGUUUAGUCCCAGAGUCCUUAGCUUAGUGAUGAGCUUGAGGGCACUAUGCGGUUGAACGCUGAGCUGUAGUCAAUGAACAGCAUUCUCACAUAGGUGUUCCUUUUGUCCAGGUGGGAAAGGGCAGUGUGGAGUUAUCACAGGUAAUGUUGGACAGGACAGGAGAUUAACUAUCUUCCCAGUUGUACCACAGUCCAUAAUUUGAUAGAAUAUGUUGUUCAUCCCAUAACAUGGUUUACCAAGGAAAAAUGUCUAAUACAUGGUAAACAGGAGUUAAAGAACUGGUGGAAAAACAGGCAGAGAUAUACAUUUUCUUACGCUCAUCGCCUGUGUUUGUAUGUGCAUGGUUCUCAGCUUUUUGGGAGAAGGACAGUGAGCCGACUAGUGUCAGCAGCUUCUCCAAGUGGGAGCAUCAGUGUGCUCUAUCAGCUCCCAGGCUGGUGCUGCCCAAGCUGACCCCUCUGAUGGUCCAGGACAAAGGCUGAGAGUGCAGUACUACCCACUGUCCAGGAAACAGCUGGAAUGGCAGCUCUGCCUCAACGCUGGGGUUAAGGAGGUCCAGAGAGAGCAAGCCAGGAUCACACAGAUCAUUCACACUUUAUUUUUAAACUAUUUUCUCUGAAAAGCUCUACAACGAUGCACUAACUAUCCUUUCAAAACGUUUGGUUUCUGAAUCAUGGAAUGUUUGUUGAUUCUCCCUUGACCCACAGGAGACUGGGCUUGAGAUCCAGCAGCUGUGUGAGGGACACUCCCGGUUGGUUGACAUCCAUCUGUUCACCAGCCAAUGGAAUCCAGCCUCUCUGGAGACCAAUAGGGGCAUGCCUACCUUACACUACGAGGAGCACAUUCAGAAGGUGCGCUUCUGGACUGACAGGGUGCGCACAGUGCCCCACUCUCUCGCCACCUCAAAAAAGCUGCUCAUCGUCACCUGCUCCCACAUCCAGGAGAAGAUAGGUGUGGCUGUGUGUGGGAGUGUUGGUGUUUUUUUGGUUGCAUGUGCUGUGUGACUUUAGGCCAACUUAGUUAUUGCAUGUGUGUGAUAUAUGUGCGAGUGUGUAACAGUGUUUUACUGGUAUCACUGGGGACUUUUUGUGGCCCUGGUCAAAAGUAGUGCCCUAUAUAGGUAAAUAGGGUGCCAUUUGGGAAGAAUCCUGAAUGUGUGGUUUUGCUUCCCCAUGCAGGGCUUCUGUUGAACUCCAUAAAGGGGGGAUUUGUUGACUGAGGAGCUUCCUUUAAUCAAUACUUUAUAUUUUAAAUCGACCCCAUUGGAUUUAUUUCCUCAGGUGAAACGCUGUGCAAAAAUGUCUAAUGACAUUCAAUAACAACUGAAGUACCUACACUUGCUCUCAGAAACUGUUCGCACCAACUACAGACAGAUGACACCAGAUGAGCUGGUUUUGGAGGAACAGAUGCUGGACCUGUGGGACAUUUUUGUUCCUCUCCUAAAGCAGCGAGCAGAGACAGUGUACCAGCAUCUUUCCUCCAUGGCUGACACCAUGGACAACACCUUCUCCUCCCUGGCCCACGACCUGGAUGAGACUAAAGCCACCUCUGGACCAUAUCUGGACCCCACUCAGAAUGCUGCUCAGAUGCGCAACAAGCUCAAGACCAUGUGCAGACAGGUGUAUGCUGUCUCUGCUCGUCUGACAGAGCUCAGCAGGACCAGUAACUGUCUCAGAGGAAACCCUCUGGAUUUUACUUUUGUAACCAAAGCCAGGCAGAAGAUGGAAGCUCACAAAGGACUGGGAACUGAUGACUGUUUCCACCACCCAGAUCCAAGAGUGGAGGCUGCUGCUCAUCAGCAAGGUGUCUGUCUGCUUGCUCUUUUCUAAUAGCCUCUCUGUUGAUCAACAAGGUACCUAGUAUGCUUAUUGAAUCUGAUAUGGGAAGGACUAAUAUUUUCACCUACUGUUCAUUUGAUGCUAAAAACAUUAGCUACUGGGUGGCUAAGUAGCCACCCUUUUACUUUAAAGGGUGGCUACUUUAACACUAGUUUGGUUACUACAUGAUUGUUUUGAUGUCUUCAUCAUUCUACAUUAAAUAACAUUAAAUAAUGAAGUCAUAGGAAUCUGUUCUUCUGAUUAAAUGAGAAACAUUUCUUAGACUGUAUUUUGCCAUCUCUGCAGACUUAUCAGGCCUGCUGCGAAGUCUGGAGCGACAUGUUCAGGCUUUGGCCAACACCAGCGACCCCUUGGUGUUGGUUUUUAGUGCUGGUUUUGACAGGAGAGCUGGUGAAGGUUCACAGCCGCACCCUGAACACCCUGCUUCAAGACUCCAAGAAGCCCUUUGGCAGGGUCAGGAGCACCAACGAGCUGACCCACCCAGGCCCGGGACAGACUACUAGCCCUGAAGGACAGCUUGGGACGCAAAGAUGACAUCAGGGUCGUGAGUGUAGGAGCUCCAUCCCUGGGACCCCUAUGCUACUUCCUCCAGGCAGAGUGGGACGGACUGGUUGAUGUGGUUUCCUACCUGCGCUCUGAGCUCAACCAGCCCAUGCGAAACAGCAAGCCUAGAGUCUCCUCUCUCCUGACCGUCUCAAGCCUGUUUCGCCUAGAGAGCAGAGCUGCUCAAGGCGUACCUAUGUGAUGAGGCCACCAGUGGUCCAACCAAUGCCUACUGCCUUCUCCAAGGCCUUUCUGUGUGUGUUAAUCAGGGAGGCUGCCCAUGCCAAGCAGAGGGACAUCAGCAACAUCUCUCUGCAUUUCCAGGUGCUGAAACAUCCCCAGCCUCUCUUCCCCUGAGCAGUGUGUUCUAGAACUGAGAUGGGCACUGUGGGAUACACGGCUAGGAGCCCUGCAGGACACGCUCUCUCUCCAGCCCUGCCUGCUCCCCCUCCUCUGGGUCAGAGCACAGGUGAGGAACACAGACACUGUCCAAGCCCCAGACAGCCCCCCCCUGCAACACCUCCUCCCUGCCCCCUCUAUCUGGAUGGAGAGCAUGGGUAUAGUAGAUACUGGGAACUGGCUGAGAAUAACAUUAUCACCCGUGUUCCUCUAGUGGCCAAUCUAGAUCCUGUGCCAUGUACACUGAGAUGAGUGAGGCCUGCGAAUACCCUUUGAAACUAGACUGUAGAAUGCAAUGCUACGAUUAUGUUGAAGCACUUAGAGGUUUUUACAACAGACUUUAAAUGAUACAUCUUAUAAGAAUGUUUCUUCUUGCUUUAUAAAUCUUAAAUUAUUGUGCAUGAUAAGACUUAAUGCAAUACAAUUCCUUUUUGAUUUAA
Molecule: long non-coding RNA, 3626 nt
Organism: Salvelinus fontinalis (brook trout)
Lineage: Eukaryota; Metazoa; Chordata; Actinopteri; Salmoniformes; Salmonidae
Exons: 4
Source: RefSeq, a predicted model, not a curated record